GAUUAAGUUAUUAAGGGCGCACGGUGGAUGCCUUGGCACUAGAAGCCGAUGAAGGACGUUACUAACGACGAUAUGCUUUGGGGAGCUGUAAGUAAGCUUUGAUCCAGAGAUUUCCGAAUGGGGAAACCCAGCAUGAGUUAUGUCAUGUUAUCGAUAUGUGAAUACAUAGCAUAUCAGAAGGCACACCCGGAGAACUGAAACAUCUUAGUACCCGGAGGAAGAGAAAGAAAAUUCGAUUCCCUUAGUAGCGGCGAGCGAAACGGGAAGAGCCCAAACCAACAAGCUUGCUUGUUGGGGUUGUAGGACACUCUAUACGGAGUUACAAAGGACGACAUUAGACGAAUCAUCUGGAAAGAUGAAUCAAAGAAGGUAAUAAUCCUGUAGUCGAAAAUGUUGUCUCUCUUGAGUGGAUCCUGAGUACGACGGAGCACGUGAAAUUCCGUCGGAAUCUGGGAGGACCAUCUCCUAAGGCUAAAUACUCUCUAGUGACCGAUAGUGAACCAGUACCGUGAGGGAAAGGUGAAAAGCACCCCGGAAGGGGAGUGAAAUAGAACCUGAAACCGUGUGCUUACAAGUAGUCA
RNAcentral lists this ribosomal RNA (581 nucleotides) under Staphylococcus aureus. RNAcentral describes it as "partial 23S ribosomal RNA". It matches the Rfam family "Bacterial large subunit ribosomal RNA", at positions 1 to 576 of the family's 2925-position model. The record is from RNAcentral. Lineage: Bacteria; Bacillati; Bacillota; Bacilli; Caryophanales; Staphylococcaceae.